Molecule: ribosomal RNA, 1434 nt
Filed under: Absidia pararepens
Lineage: Eukaryota; Fungi; Mucoromycota; Mucoromycetes; Mucorales; Cunninghamellaceae
Description: partial large subunit ribosomal RNA
Rfam family: Eukaryotic large subunit ribosomal RNA
Source: RNAcentral
AGUAACGGCGAGUGAACAGGGAAAAGCUCAAAGUUGGAACCUCCUGGCCCUAGGUCUGGCGGAUUGUAAACUAAAGCUCUCGAGUAGUUCGGCUAGCCUGGUAAAAAAGUUCUCUGGAAAGGGACGACAUAGAGGGUGAAAUCCCCGUCUUUGGCCAGAGCAUAGUCCAACGUUUGCUUGGAAGUGAAGAGUCAGGUUGUUUGGUAUUGCAGCCUAAAGCUGGAGGUAAAUCUCUCCUAAAGCUAAAUAUUGACGAAAGACCGAUAGCGAACAAGUACCGUGAGGGAAAGAUGAAAAGCACUUUGAAAAGAGGGUCAAAAAGUACGUGAAAUUGCUGAAAGGGAACCGUAUGAAAUCAGCUUGUCUCUUUGGUAAUCAACCUGGACUUUGGUCUGGGUGCACUUGCCAGUGAGUACAGCCUGCGACAAUUCGGCGCGAAGGAAAAAAUUAGAGGGAAUGUGGCCUCAGCUUCGGUUGAGGUGUUAUAGCCCUUUGAAAAAUACUUUGCUCUGGAUUGAGGACUGCAGCGAGCCAUUUGGGAUAGACUGUGGGCGCUUUGUUUGGACUGGGAGGAAAUUUCUAUCUCUGGUAGUGUUCUUUCAGCUCGAGCAAACUCGCCUACUUUUCUUUUUUCUCGCUUAGGUCGUAGGCAUAAUGAUUUUAUAUGACCCGUCUUGAAACACGGACCAAGGAGUCCACCAUCAUUGCGAGUCUUUGGGUGUAGAAACCCAUAGGCGGAAGGAAACUGACCAAGAUAUGAAACCUUUACCGGUGGCAAUAUCCUCCAGCAAGGACGUUUUAUACUGAACUGACUGAGAGAAAGCAAUGAUGAUGGGACCCGAAAGAUGGUGAACUAUACUUGAAUAGGGUGAAGCCAGAGGAAACUCUGGUGGAAGCUCGUAGCGAUUCUGACGUGCAAAUCGAUCGUCAAAUUUGAGUAUAGGGGCGAAAGACUAAUCGAACCAUCUAGUAGCUGGUUCCUGCCGAAGUUUCCCUCAGGAUAGCAGAAACUCACAAAGCAGUUUUAUGGGGUAAAGCGAAUGAUUAGAGGCCUUGGGGGCGAAAUGCCCUUAACCUAUUCUCAAACUUUAAAUAUGUAAGACGCCUUUCUUUCUUAAUUGAAGUUGGGCCUUUGAAUGCAGAGUUUCUAGUGGGCCAUUUUUGGUAAGCAGAACUGGCGAUGCGGGAUGAACCGAACGUAGAGUUAAGGUGCCCAAAUUUACGCUCAUCAGACACCACAAAAGGUGUUAGUUCAUCUAGACAGCAGGACGGUGGCCAUGGAAGUCGGAAACCGCUAAGGAGUGUGUAACAACUCACCUGCCGAAUGAACUAGCCCUGAAAAUGGAUGGCGCUUAAGCGUAAUACCUAUACUCUACCGUCAAUGUAAAAGCGAAGCAUUGACGAGUAGGCAGGCGUGGAGGUUUUGUAUAGAAG